AUAUUUUUCUCAUCACUUUGCCACUUUCCACUACUAUAUUGAAAUUUUUAUAACAUUGGAAUUGUAAUACAUCAUCAUUUGAAACCAUCUUUAAUAUCAUAUUGUGUAUAACCAUACUAUAAUAAGGUUUUCUUAGUUGUUUUCGGUUGCCCCCACUGAAAGAAAUUUCUGGCUCCGUCCCUGCAAGUAAGUUGAUAGAGUAUGUAUUCGUCCCUAGCUGUGAUCUCUUUUAAUAUUAACUAAUAACAACUUCCUAAGCAUAUGAUAAAAGAAGAAAAAGUAGGAAGUGGAAAGGAGAGAAAUUUGAAAUGUAAUUACUAACUCUCUUGGUUUUUAAACAAAUAUUAAAACUCUU
Molecule: long non-coding RNA, 355 nt
Filed under: Malus domestica (apple)
Lineage: Eukaryota; Viridiplantae; Streptophyta; Magnoliopsida; Rosales; Rosaceae
Description: long non-coding RNA (MDOM_LNC000887)
Source: RNAcentral